This 248-nucleotide ribosomal RNA is filed under the name Clostridioides difficile. RNAcentral describes it as "partial 23S ribosomal RNA". It matches the Rfam family "Bacterial large subunit ribosomal RNA", at positions 883 to 1130 of the family's 2925-position model. The record is from RNAcentral. Lineage: Bacteria; Bacillati; Bacillota; Clostridia; Peptostreptococcales; Peptostreptococcaceae.
CAAGGUGAGAGAUACGGAGGUAGAGCACUGAAUGUCCUAGGGGGUAUUGCACCUACCGAAGACUAUCAAACUCCGAAUGCCGGCAUCUUAUACUUGGGAGUCAGACUGUGGGUGAUAAGAUUCAUAGUCGAAAGGGCAACAGCCCAGAUCGUCAGCUAAGGUCCCUAAAUGUAAGUUAAGUGGUAAAGGAUGUGGGAUUGCACAGACAACCAGGAUGUUGGCUUAGAAGCAGCCACUCAUUCAAAGAG